UUGACCUCGGAUCAGGUAGGAAUACCCGCUGAACUUAAGCAUAUCAAUAAG
This 51-nucleotide ribosomal RNA is filed under the name Ceratocystis fimbriata. RNAcentral's name for it is "partial 28S ribosomal RNA". RNAcentral also lists the same sequence under 31 other names. Lineage: Eukaryota; Fungi; Ascomycota; Sordariomycetes; Microascales; Ceratocystidaceae. The record is from RNAcentral.